This 1346-nucleotide long non-coding RNA is filed under the name Mytilus galloprovincialis (Mediterranean mussel). The record is from RNAcentral. Lineage: Eukaryota; Metazoa; Mollusca; Bivalvia; Mytilida; Mytilidae.
UAAAUUUAAUUAUUAAAUAUGAGCAAUUGAAUUUUAAAAAAAAAUCUACUAUUUAAAAAUAUGUUUCUUCCAAAAAACUAAUGUGAUAAAGUAUGGAAGGCGCUCAAAUUAUUUUUAUUUGUGUGGUUGCAUUUUCUUUAGAAUUUUGUAAGUUUAAUAAGUAAAAUUAAAAUUUAUAUUAAGAUUGGUUGGGGUAAAAAAAGAUUUCUCCCAUGCGCUGUGUGUGUUUUUGACAUAUACGUUUUAAUUGUAUUAUUCAUCUAGGUACUACUAUCCAGCAUUCUAGUAAUUUGAUGAGUUACUAGCUAUGGAUGAAAAAAUGUGGUGUUGUGUCAGUGUUUUAAUAGUACAUUGUUUUAAAAUUCAGGCAAUAUGCAAAUACAUGAAGUUUUUUAAAAGCAACAAAUGUUUUAUUUAUUUGUUUUUUUAAUGAUAAGUUUUUGUAUGGAUGCGUUAGAAAUUGAUGUAGUUUCCUGUUUUUAUUUUACAUAUUAAUUGUAGUGUGCUGUUCAUAAUGCUUAUGUUUUUACUUUGUGAGUAGAUCUGAUUGUUUAAGGACAACCACUAUAAAUAGAAAUGUCAAUGGUAUUUAGAAUGCAAUUUUAUAAGCAUGGGAACAUCUCUUUUUCAUUUACAUAAUUUGACCCUGCCUUCUAAGGCAUUGUUCAUUGACUUUAAAAAUUUUGUUUUGUUUAGAUGUUAACGUUUGUGGAUAGGUUAGUUUAAAUGAUGCCAUUUAUUAUGUUGUUGUAUUAGAAUAUUAAAGAUAUGUCAUCAACAUUACAUGCAGUUGUGACUUAUCUCUGUGUCACAAGUUUAUUUACAUGGUAAACACAGAUCCAUUUGUUUUCUACUUUUAUCUGCUGACGAGCAUUUAAUUAUGACCAAAGAGCUGUAACUCAGAAAGUUUUCUAGAAUAUGAAGUACCAUGUUUCUUUUCUAAUUAUACACUUACUGGAAAAGUGUUCAUGAUGAAAAUAAGCUUAACACUAUUAAAAUUUGUCCACUCAUUUUGUGUGUAUGUACCUAUUGUAUUUUCAAUAUCUAUUUAUCAUUUACAUAAUUAGAAUAGUAUGAAAUAUACACAAUUAAUAAUCUCCACAUGUCAGAACAUCUUUUUGAAUGUAUCUGUAUCGAUGGUAGCAAGAAGAUUAUAUAUUUUUUUAAAGUGUACUGAUUCUGACAAAAGUCUUGUGUAAAACAACUUUUUGAAUUAAUAUUUUGAAUGUUAACAAAAAAAUACUUUUUGAAUUAUAGUUUCUUUGUCAUCAAGUUUGUGCCAUAGUCACUGGAAAUCUUUUUAAACUUUGAUUUUAUAAAAUAUUUUUUUAUGACAUUUAAUCCAA